Molecule: ribosomal RNA, 482 nt
Filed under: uncultured bacterium
Lineage: Bacteria
Description: bacterial SSU rRNA
Rfam family: Bacterial small subunit ribosomal RNA
Source: RNAcentral
AUUGAACGCUGGCGGCAUGCCUUACACAUGCAGGUCGAACGGCAGCACGGGAGCAAUCCUGGUGGCGAGUGGCGAACGGGUGAGUAAUAUAUCGGAACGUGCCCAGUCGUGGGGGAUAACGUAGCGAAAGCUACGCUAAUACCGCAUACGAUCUAUGGAUGAAAGCGGGGAUCGCAAGACCUCGCGCGAUUGGAGCGGCCGAUAUCAGAUUAGGUAGUUGGUGAGGUAAAGGCUCACCAAGCCGACGAUCUGUAGCUGGUCUGAGAGGACGACCAGCCACACUGGGACUGAGACACGGCCCAGACUCCUACGGGAGGCAGCAGUGGGGAAUUUUGGACAAUGGGCGCAAGCCUGAUCCAGCAAUGCCGCGUGCAGGAUGAAGGCCUUCGGGUUGUAAACUGCUUUGUACGGAACGAAACGGUGAGCUCUAAUACAGUUUGCUAAUGACGGUACCGUAAGAAUAAGCACCGGCUAACUACGUG